RNA transcript from Magnolia sinica, 1468 nucleotides. It is a transcript of the gene named protein THYLAKOID ASSEMBLY 8-like, chloroplastic, with no coding region annotated. The transcript has 4 exons. Lineage: Eukaryota; Viridiplantae; Streptophyta; Magnoliopsida; Magnoliales; Magnoliaceae. The record is from RefSeq and is a predicted model, not a curated record.
CAUACGCAUGGUGGCCCAGCACCGUCCAGUAGCGAGAUGCUACUGGCAGUGUCAGUAGCGAACCCCCGUUCGAGAAAGAGAGGGGAGAAAGAGGGGGAGCGGAUUAGCCAGUUACCCGGGUAACCCCUUAGUGGGUGUUAACAUUACCAUGGGGCCCACCCUUAUAUAUCAACGCCGUCAGUCCGUUUUUCCAGCCCAUUAUAGAUCAUGGUCCCAAAAUUUAAGUAGAUACAAAUCUCAGGUGGACCACACCACAGGAAACAGUGGCGAUUGAACUCUCGCCAUUAAAAAAAAUAUUUACAGGUUAUUAUCCAAACAGGCCGGGAAAGAGAGAGCGCGCGCGGUGGAAGCCCAAUGCAUUCGUCUCCAAUCCGCGUUCCUUAUCUUUACUUGCUGUCAUCGAAACCCGAAUCCAAAAACAUAGAUUUCCAUGGCGUUGGUGAGAUUCCAGAGCUCUGCCAGAUCGGAAUUCCCCAGAAAUCGCAGCAGCAGCGAUUCAAGAGGGGAAUUCUCACCAUGAGAGACAGGAGCAAGAACCGAAAACCCUUGCAGAGGGGGAGAAUCAGCAUCGAGGCGAUCCAAACCGUCCAGGCUCUGAAGCGAGCCAAGGAAAACCAUCAGUCGUUGAAUCAGGUGUUCGAAUUGAAGGUCAGGCGCUUGAUAAAGCCGGAUAUCGUUGCCGUUCUACGAGAACUUCAGAGGCAGAAGGAAGGGCAUUUGGCCCUACAGGUCUUUGAAGGCAUCAGAAAGGAAUACUGGUAUAAGCCUCAGGCAUCUGUCUAUGCAGAUAUGAUCGCAGUGCUGGCAAGCAAUGGGCUAUUUGAAAAGGUUGAACUGCUUCUUUCGUAUAUGAAGAUGGAGAUUGUGGAUGCUGAUAUUGAAGGAUUUAACGCUGUUUUGAGAACUUUGAUGGAGUUCGGCAUUUCCCAAACUGCAAUGGAGUGUUUUCUGUUAAUGAAAGAGGUCAAUUGUGAACCAGAUGAGAUAACCUUUAGAAUCUUGAUAAAUGGCUUUGAAUCAAUGGGGGAAGUGGGCCUAUCGGCUAUUGUCAGGCAAGAAGCUGGGAAAUAUUUCGGUGGUUCUAUGGAGUUUCUAGAGGAGAAGGAAGAGACAACAUCAACUCAUUGACUCACUGACAGUACAAAAAAGUAAUACUUGACCAUUUCACGGUGAUGGUUCUCAUGGUCUGUUCAAUGAUCAGUCUAGAGGUGUUGGUAGCAAUGAUCAGCAGACUCCACUCCAUCUGAUUGCUGUGGAGCCCAUUGUAUCAAAACUGAACUGCCGAGGAUUGCAUCUUAUGUUGCAGGUGGUUUAAAAAGGGCUUGGCUUGGUUCUAAAAAGAGAUAUGUGGGGCACUUUUAGACUCAUGGAUGGUCAAUCAUCUACUUGGAUUGGUCAUUGGAUUCAUUCUACUUUUCAUUGGCCACCAUGAAAAAUUCACACUUGUCGGACCAUCUAAUCAAUGGCA